RNAcentral lists this unclassified non-coding RNA (258 nucleotides) under plant metagenome. Its description in RNAcentral is "partial contains small subunit ribosomal RNA and internal transcribed spacer 1". The stretch from base 1 to 46 matches the Rfam family "Eukaryotic small subunit ribosomal RNA", at positions 1786 to 1831 of the family's 1831-position model. The record is from RNAcentral.
AAGUCGUAACAAGGUUUCCGUAGGUGAACCUGCGGAAGGAUCAUUAUAAAUAAAGCCGGUAGGAGGUGGGGUCUUGAUCUGUAAGUGGUAGAGCGAACAGUCCGGCUGCCUCCCGAAAUGUCUUACAUGCCCCCACAGCUGAGCACGAAUACCAAUCCAUGACUUAUUCUACACUUGUUGCUUUGGGGUGCUCAAGUGCCCCAGAGGACCCAAAUCUCUUGCAUUUAGUGACGUCUGAGUACUAUAUAAUAUUUAAAA